GCCUACGGGACGCAGCAGUGAGGAAUAUUGGUCAAUGGCCGAGAGGCUGAACCAGCCAAGUCGCGUGAGGGAUGACGGCCCUACGGGUUGUAAACCUCUUUUGUCGGGGAGCAACGCCGGCUACGUGUAGCCGGACUGAGAGUACCUGAAGAAAAAGCAUCGGCUAACUCCGUGCCAGCAGCCGCGGUAAUACGGAGGAUGCGAGCGUUAUCCGGAUUUAUUGGGUUUAAAGGGUGCGUAGGCGGUCCGUUAAGUCAGCGGUAAAAUUGCGGGGCUCAACCCCGUCGAGCCGUUGAAACUGGCAG
Molecule: ribosomal RNA, 305 nt
Filed under: uncultured bacterium
Lineage: Bacteria
Description: bacterial SSU rRNA
Rfam family: Bacterial small subunit ribosomal RNA
Source: RNAcentral